GCUCCUUCCCUGUAGAAUCUGGAGGAAGCUGCCACUGCCAACGCAAGGGAAAGAUUUGCCUAAAAUAUUGGCUGCUGUCGUGGAUCCUGGGACCUCUUGGGCCAGGUGCCUUCUGCACUGUGAUGAGAUUGUACCAAUAAGCUCAAUAAAAAGAAAAAAAAAAGAAUAGAAGUCCAUUGUCACAAGCCGCUGAAAAUUCAGAAUCACUCUUCUGCAGCAUUAUUGAUUCCACAAUCCAUGGUCCAAUUCUGGACUUUUGAAGUAGGACCCUGAUACGAUACUCUGCCAACAUCUCAGAAUUAUUUGGAAAC
RNAcentral lists this long non-coding RNA (311 nucleotides) under Fukomys damarensis (Damara mole-rat). RNAcentral's name for it is "lncRNA (ENSFDAG00000029542.1)". Lineage: Eukaryota; Metazoa; Chordata; Mammalia; Rodentia; Bathyergidae. The record is from RNAcentral.